CUGUAAUUGGUUAAAUGACGCGCAGAAACCGACACGUAAUCCCGGGUGCUCCAGUAAAGCUGGGGUUGGCUUACGGGGUCUCUGCAAGUUUGUAAC
RNAcentral lists this small RNA (96 nucleotides) under gamma proteobacterium BDW918. RNAcentral describes it as "t44 RNA". It matches the Rfam family "t44 RNA". Rfam says of the family: This family consists of a number of bacterial RNA genes of between 135 and 170 bases in length. RNAcentral also lists the same sequence under 1 other name. Lineage: Bacteria; Pseudomonadati; Pseudomonadota; Gammaproteobacteria; Cellvibrionales; Spongiibacteraceae. The record is from Rfam by way of RNAcentral.